RNAcentral lists this ribosomal RNA (1372 nucleotides) under uncultured bacterium. Its description in RNAcentral is "bacterial SSU rRNA". It matches the Rfam family "Bacterial small subunit ribosomal RNA", at positions 28 to 1381 of the family's 1533-position model. The record is from RNAcentral.
GAUGAACGCUGGCGGCGUGCCUAAUACAUGCAAGUCGAGCGAACGGACGAGAAGCUUGCUUCUCUGAUGUUGGCGGCGGACGGGUGAGUAACACGUGGAUAACCUACCUAUAAGACUGGGAUAACUUCGGGAAACCGGAGCUAAUACCGGAUAAUAUUUUGAACCGCAUGGUUCAAAAGUGAAAGACGGUCUUGCUGUCACUUAUAGAUGGAUCCGCGCUGCAUUAGCUAGUUGGUAAGGUAACGGCUUACCAAGGCAACGAUGCAUAGCCGACCUGAGAGGGUGAUCGGCCACACUGGAACUGAGACACGGUCCAGACUCCUACGGGAGGCAGCAGUAGGGAACCUUCCGCAAUGGGCGAAAGCCUGACGGAGCAACGCCGCGUGAGUGAUGAAGGUCUUCGGAUCGUAAAACUCUGUUAUUAGGGAAGAACAUAUGUGUAAGUAACUGUGCACAUCUUGACGGUACCUAAUCAGAAAGCCACGGCUAACUACGUGCCAGCAGCCGCGGUAAUACGUAGGUGGCAAGCGUUAUCCGGAAUUAUUGGGCGUAAAGCGCGCGUAGGCGGUUUUUUAAGUCUGAUGUGAAAGCCCACGGCUCAACCGUGGAGGGUCAUUGGAAACUGGAAAACUUGAGUGCAGAAGAGGAAAGUGGAAUUCCAUGUGUAGCGGUGAAAUGCGCAGAGAUAUGGAGGAACACCAGUGGCGAAGGCGACUUUCUGGUCUGUAACUGACGCUGAUGUGCGAAAGCGUGGGGAUCAAACAGGAUUAGAUACCCUGGUAGUCCACGCCGUAAACGAUGAGUGCUAAGUGUUAGGGGGUUUCCGCCCCUUAGUGCUGCAGCUAACGCAUUAAGCACUCCGCCUGGGGAGUACGACCGCAAGGUUGAAACUCAAAGGAAUUGACGGGGACCCGCACAAGCGGUGGAGCAUGUGGUUUAAUUCGAAGCAACGCGAAGAACCUUACCAAAUCUUGACAUCCUUUGACAACUCUAGAGAUAGAGCCUUCCCCUUCGGGGGACAAAGUGACAGGUGGUGCAUGGUUGUCGUCAGCUCGUGUCGUGAGAUGUUGGGUUAAGUCCCGCAACGAGCGCAACCCUUAAGCUUAGUUGCCAUCAUUAAGUUGGGCACUCUAAGUUGACUGCCGGUGACAAACCGGAGGAAGGUGGGGAUGACGUCAAAUCAUCAUGCCCCUUAUGAUUUGGGCUACACACGUGCUACAAUGGACAAUACAAAGGGCAGCGAAACCGCGAGGUCAAGCAAAUCCCAUAAAGUUGUUCUCAGUUCGGAUUGUAGUCUGCAACUCGACUACAUGAAGCUGGAAUCGCUAGUAAUCGUAGAUCAGCAUGCUACGGUGAAUACGUUCCCGGGUCU